This 402-nucleotide long non-coding RNA is filed under the name Setaria viridis. RNAcentral describes it as "long non-coding RNA (SVIR_LNC010243)". Lineage: Eukaryota; Viridiplantae; Streptophyta; Magnoliopsida; Poales; Poaceae. The record is from RNAcentral.
UUAAUGACUGUUGGUCCCUGAUAAAGUCUUGUAUGUUUGAUGAGACAAGCCACAACAUCAACUCACAAUUGGAGAACAUCGGAAGGAAAAUCGCUGAGACACUCAGUGGUCUUCCUAUUGCUGCAAAGGUUGUAGCUAGACACCUGAAAUGUAAACACAGUGUAGAUGAGUGGAAACAGGUCUUGCAGAGAAAUGCAGUAUGGGAGGAAAUCAUGCCAAUUCUAAGGACAAGUUAUGACAAUCUGCCACCACACCUAAAACAGUGCUUUGCAUAUUGCAGCAUCUUCCCCAGGGGCUGGGAAUUUGAAGCUGAGCAGCUGAUUCUCCAGUGGAUAGCACAAGGUUUUGUACACCCAGAUGGUUGCAGGAGAAUGGAGGACAUUGGGAAGGAAUACAUAAAUG